GGGGGUCCCAGUUCCGAACCCG
Molecule: small nuclear RNA, 22 nt
Filed under: Arabidopsis thaliana (thale cress)
Lineage: Eukaryota; Viridiplantae; Streptophyta; Magnoliopsida; Brassicales; Brassicaceae
Description: snRNA_10952
Source: RNAcentral